RNAcentral lists this small RNA (756 nucleotides) under Pongo abelii (Sumatran orangutan). RNAcentral's name for it is "retained intron". Lineage: Eukaryota; Metazoa; Chordata; Mammalia; Primates; Hominidae. The record is from RNAcentral.
UCAAUCAAAAAGGAGAUCAGAAAUCCUAAAAUCAAUGUUGUCAUUUAUGUAUGCCCAUUUGGCCUUCUUUCAUCAAGGAUAUGAUCUGUUUAGUGAACUUGGACCCUACAUGAAGGAUCUUGGUGCACAGUUGGAUCGACUGGUUGUGGAUGCAGCAAAGGAGAAAAGAGAAAUGGAACAAAAACAUUCCACCAUUCAACAAAAGGUACUUCAGGGGAAAAAUUAAAAAUUAAUUCCACUUUAUACAAUGGCUUGGUUGUUGGUUUAUGCAAGGUAUCAUUGUAUCGGGACAAAUCUUUUGAGUUGUUCUAAUAAUUGUGCAGAUAAACUCCUCUUCUGUUUUUGAAGAGCAAAAUGUUCUUCAGAUUUUAAGGUAUGUAUUUUGUUAUUUUUUCAGAUCUUUGAAAGCUAUGCUUCUUGAACCAGUUGAUAAAAAUUUGAAUCUCUUAGGGCCUUAACUAAGCUAAAAGUGGCCUUUAGUUAAUUCAAAACACUAUUCAUAAUUACAUUUAGGAUACCACCAACUCCCUGUAAAAGUGUGUGUCUGUGUGUGUGUUGCGGGGCAGGGGGUGUGGAUGCACCUUAGUGUCAACAUGCAUGUUUGGUCUUACAGACUUUCCAACUGCAGUCACUGCAAGGCAGCCUUUCCUCUCUGUCACGAGAUGCUAAAACUUCACUUGCAUUGCCUGUUAAAUUGUCUAAGCCUGGCUAAGCUUACUUUGAAAAUAUUUUUAAAAAUGAAAACUCAAAUAUUAA